Molecule: ribosomal RNA, 407 nt
Filed under: uncultured bacterium
Lineage: Bacteria
Description: partial 16S ribosomal RNA
Rfam family: Bacterial small subunit ribosomal RNA
Source: RNAcentral
AUUGAACGCUGGCGGCAGGCCUAACACAUGCAAGUCGAGCGGAGCGGCGGACGGGUGAGUAAUGCUUAGGAAUCUGCCUGGUCGUGGGGGAUAACGUCCGGAAAUGGGCGCUAAUACCGCAUACUAUCAGCAGAGCCUAGGUCGGAUUAGCUAGUUGGUGGGGUAAAGGUCUACCAAGGCGACGAUCCCUAACUGGGCUGAGAGGAGGAGCAGUCACACUGGAACUGAGACACGGUCCAGACUCCUACGGGAGGCAGCAGUGGGGAAUAUUGGACAAUGGGCGAAAGCCUGAUCCAGCCAUGCCGCGUGUGUGAAGAAGGACUUCGGAUUGUAAAGCACUUUAAGUUGGGAGGCGUUACCAACAGAAGAAGCACCGGCUAACUCCGUGCCAGCAGCCGCGGUAAUUC